RNAcentral lists this long non-coding RNA (1120 nucleotides) under Equus caballus (horse). RNAcentral describes it as "lncRNA (ENSECAG00000053547.1)". The record is from RNAcentral. Lineage: Eukaryota; Metazoa; Chordata; Mammalia; Perissodactyla; Equidae.
GGCGGUUGAUCCUGGUUCACUGUUGCAGUACCUCAGAUGUUGGUGAUGGAGAAGCAUUCCUUGGAUUCGGGGAGUGGUGCUGGAAAUGGAGAGAAACAGGGAGAUUUGGGAAUCGUUUGGAAGUUAUAUAUGCCAGUUGCGGGUCCUUCUAGUUGUGGCAUGUGGAAUGCCGCCUCAACGUGGCCUGAUGAGCGGUGCCGUGUCUGUGCCCAGGAUCCGAGCCGGUGAAACCCUUGUCCACCACAGCAGAGUGUGGGAACUUAACCACUUGGCCAUGGGGCCGGCCCCUCAAUAUUUUGCUAUCAUGACCAUCGUUACCAGUAACUUUCUUGUGAUUGUCCUGUACACGUGCAAGAGAUGCUCUAAGGUUUCAUUUUUAUUUGUUCAAUCUUGAAAGAGCAACAAAGGUAUAACGUGGCAUAUUUUAAGAAAUGACUCCGUAGAAGCAGAGUGGCCGAAGUUAAGAACACGGACAGUCCAGCCACAGUGCCUGAUGUCACAUCCUGUCUCUGCCUGCAACAGGCUGUGUGAUCUUGGGAGCUGGAAGACAAGUUCAAGUGUGUGGCUUUUAUGUCAAGUUCUAUAGGCGUAGACCUAGUAGGGACAUUUUUUGUACCGAGAUGAGUUGCUUUCUGACUUUGUUCUUUGGUUUUCUAAGCAUUUUAGAGGCAAAAUAAUAUCCUUCUUAUAUGACUCUUUUCUCCUUUCUUCCAUUAUUUCUUAACGGUGCUAUUAGUUCUGGGUGGUUAUUCCCCUCUACUCUUUCUCGCUUUUCUCCUUGAAAGGCACAAUAAAAGUGUUCUGGCCAUUUUUGUGACUUCUGAGUGUCCACAAUCCAUCGUUGAUGCUGAAGAGCAACGGCUAGUUUGGAGAGAGAUCCCACGUCUUUCCACCUGUCCUGCGUCUCCACCCCUACUCCAUUUACUUUUCUUCCAAAUUUGGAGAUGGCAUCAUGGCAUGUGUUAAAAUUCCUUAUCUUGGUAUGCUCUCUGAUGAGGGAUUAGAGAAGCUGCUUGUUAGUUCUGUCAGCUUGAUCCUGGGAUAAAACCUGUAUAAAGCACUUCCACCGUGAAUAAUACAUGGGAGAUGCACAAACAUGCACAAAGAAACCAGUUACAGG